GACGAACGCUGGCGGCGUGCUUAACACAUGCAAGUCGAACGGAAAGGCCCUGCUUGCAGGGUACUCGAGUGGCGAACGGGCGAGUAACACGUGGGUGAUCUGCCCUGCACUUCGGGAUAAGCCUGGGAAACUGGGUCUAAUACCGGAUAGGAGCCAUUUUUAGUGUGAUGGUUGGAAAGUUUUUUCGGUGUAGGAUGAGCUCGCGGCCUAUCAGCUUGUUGGUGGGGUAAUGGCCUACCAAGGCGGCGACGGGUAGCCGGCCUGAGAGGGUGGACGGCCACAUGGGGACUGAGAUACGGCCCAGACUCCUACGGGAGGCAGCAGUGGGGAAUAUUGCACAAUGGGCGCAAGCCUGAUGCAGCGACGCCGCGUGGGGGAUGACGGCCUUCGGGUUGUAAACUCCUUUCGCUAGGGACGAAGCUUUUGUGACGGUACCUAGAUAAGAAGCACCGGCUAACUACGUG
RNAcentral lists this ribosomal RNA (464 nucleotides) under uncultured bacterium. RNAcentral's name for it is "partial 16S ribosomal RNA". It matches the Rfam family "Bacterial small subunit ribosomal RNA", at positions 28 to 507 of the family's 1533-position model. The record is from RNAcentral.